UCCUCUGUAGCUCAGUCGGUUAGAGCCUCAUGCUUAUACUCUCAAAUUGACUUUUCUCGCCAGGGUGAGCCAAAUGAGACGUGAUGGUCGCGAGUUCGACCCUCGCCAGAGGAA
Molecule: transfer RNA, 114 nt
Filed under: Leucosporidium creatinivorum
Lineage: Eukaryota; Fungi; Basidiomycota; Microbotryomycetes; Leucosporidiales; Leucosporidiaceae
Description: Leucosporidiella creatinivora tRNA
Rfam family: tRNA
About the family: Transfer RNA (tRNA) molecules are approximately 80 nucleotides in length. Their secondary structure includes four short double-helical elements and three loops (D, anti-codon, and T loops).
Source: Rfam by way of RNAcentral